AUUGAACGCUGGCGGCAGGCCUAACACAUGCAAGUCGAGCGGAGCGGCGGACGGGUGAGUAAUACCUAGGAAUCUGCCUGGUAGUGGGGGAUAACGUUCGGAAACGGACGCUAAUACAGCAUACUAUCAGCUGCGCCUAGUUCGGAUUAGCUAGUUGGUGAGUUAAUGGCUCACCAAGGCUACGAUCCGUACCUGGUCUGAGAGGAGGAUCAGUAACACUGGACCGGAGACACGGCCCAGACUCUUACGGGAGGAAGCAUUGGGGAAUAUUGGACAAGGGGCGAAAGCCGGACCCAGCCAGGCGGCUUGGGUGAAGAAGGUCUUCGGUUUGUAAAGCACUUUAAGUGGGGAGGCGUUACCGACACAAUAAGCACCGGCUAACUCUGUGCCAGCAGCCGCGGUAAUUC
Molecule: ribosomal RNA, 407 nt
Filed under: uncultured bacterium
Lineage: Bacteria
Description: partial 16S ribosomal RNA
Rfam family: Bacterial small subunit ribosomal RNA
Source: RNAcentral